AAACCUAGCAUUUUCCACAAUAAAAUUCUUACAAUAGCUUUAUUCAAAUUUUCAAAAUUAUUCAUUCUCCUUAAAUUAUCUGAUUAUAGGUCCCGAAAAUCGUAAUUUAGACCGAUUUACGAUCUUAUAUGAUGUGGGACACCCUGUAUUUAAUCCUGUAUCUGAAAUGGACCACCCAGUACUAGUAUGUUUUAUGUGUUCACUAUAUUAUAAGUUAUUGACUCUGUACCAAGUAUUUCUUGAUCUUAUUAUAUUUUAAUGUUUAACCCUGUAAAGAUUGAAGAGGAAAAAGAGGAAAAAAUCAAAACAAAGAGAAACAUCUGCGUCAUCUACAGAACGCAAGAACAAGAUUAAGAUAAAAAGUAAGACAAAGAAGAAGAAGAAAUGGAAAAAGAAGAAGAAUUGUGAAGAGAAAGCGGAAAGUAUUCUAAACAUAGAAACUCAGACAAAACUCUCUCAACAAGCAGAAAAUCCAUUUCAGUUGGAGGAGUAUGUUAAUUCAGAAUGGUCUGAAGAAGAAGGAGAGGAUGAGGCAACAAAACUAAUUACAAAACAAAUAACUUUCAAAACGACAAGGAGGAGGAGAAAGUGCAGGAAGAGUGUAAAACUACAAACAGAUCAAACUAUUGCAGAGAAGGACAUAAAACAAAAAAUACUAAAGAUUGCGGAUCCGAACACUGCCCCCUCGGAUCCAGAUUCCGGGUUCUAUCCGGUACCGCCAGGGAUGGAUAAAAGAAGAUGUUUCUUUCAAAAGAAUGCUAAACCUUUACAAUGUUCUAUUUGUCAAAACG
Long non-coding RNA from Eurytemora carolleeae, 791 nucleotides. RefSeq lists it as uncharacterized. The record is from RefSeq and is a predicted model, not a curated record. NCBI's taxonomy places the organism in Eukaryota, Metazoa, Arthropoda, Copepoda, Calanoida, Temoridae. The transcript has 6 exons.